RNAcentral lists this ribosomal RNA (1014 nucleotides) under Staphylococcus aureus. RNAcentral describes it as "bacterial SSU rRNA". It matches the Rfam family "Bacterial small subunit ribosomal RNA", at positions 1 to 996 of the family's 1533-position model. Lineage: Bacteria; Bacillati; Bacillota; Bacilli; Caryophanales; Staphylococcaceae. The record is from RNAcentral.
UUUAUGGAGAGUUUGAUCCUGGCUCAGGAUGAACGCUGGCGGCGUGCCUAAUACAUGCAAGUCGAGCGAACGGACGAGAAGCUUGCUUCUCUGAUGUUAGCGGCGGACGGGUGAGUAACACGUGGAUAACCUACCUAUAAGACUGGGAUAACUUCGGGAAACCGGAGCUAAUACCGGAUAAUAUUUUGAACCGCAUGGUUCAAAAGUGAAAGACGGUCUUGCUGUCACUUAUAGAUGGAUCCGCGCUGCAUUAGCUAGUUGGUAAGGUAACGGCUUACCAAGGCAACGAUGCAUAGCCGACCUGAGAGGGUGAUCGGCCACACUGGAACUGAGACACGGUCCAGACUCCUACGGGAGGCAGCAGUAGGGAAUCUUCCGCAAUGGGCGAAAGCCUGACGGAGCAACGCCGCGUGAGUGAUGAAGGUCUUCGGAUCGUAAAACUCUGUUAUUAGGGAAGAACAUAUGUGUAAGUAACUGUGCACAUCUUGACGGUACCUAAUCAGAAAGCCACGGCUAACUACGUGCCAGCAGCCGCGGUAAUACGUAGGUGGCAAGCGUUAUCCGGAAUUAUUGGGCGUAAAGCGCGCGUAGGCGGUUUUUUAAGUCUGAUGUGAAAGCCCACGGCUCAACCGUGGAGGGUCAUUGGAAACUGGAAAACUUGAGUGCAGAAGAGGAAAGUGGAAUUCCAUGUGUAGCGGUGAAAUGCGCAGAGAUAUGGAGGAACACCAGUGGCGAAGGCGACUUUCUGGUCUGUAACUGACGCUGAUGUGCGAAAGCGUGGGGAUCAAACAGGAUUAGAUACCCUGGUAGUCCACGCCGUAAACGAUGAGUGCUAAGUGUUAGGGGGUUUCCGCCCCUUAGUGCUGCAGCUAACGCAUUAAGCACUCCGCCUGGGGAGUACGACCGCAAGGUUGAAACUCAAAGGAAUUGACGGGGACCCGCACAAGCGGUGGAGCAUGUGGUUUAAUUCGAAGCAACGCGAAGAACCUUACCAAAUCUUGACAUCCUUUGACA